UACGUAGGGGGCAAGCGUUGUCCGGAAUCAUUGGGCGUAAAGCGCGCGUAGGUGGCUAUGUAAGUCCGUUGUGAAAGUCAAAGGCUCAACCUUUGAAAGCCGAUGGAUACUGCAUAGCUAGAGUACGGAAGAGGCGAGUGGAAUUCCUGGUGUAGCGGUGGAAUGCGCAGAUAUCAGGAGGAACACCAAUAGCGAAGGCAGCUCGCUGGGACGUUACUGACACUGAGGCGCGAAAGCGUGGGGAGCGAACAGG
This 253-nucleotide ribosomal RNA is filed under the name uncultured bacterium. Its description in RNAcentral is "partial 16S ribosomal RNA". It matches the Rfam family "Bacterial small subunit ribosomal RNA", at positions 524 to 776 of the family's 1533-position model. The record is from RNAcentral.